RNAcentral lists this transfer RNA (63 nucleotides) under Heterocephalus glaber (naked mole-rat). It matches the Rfam family "tRNA", at positions 5 to 66 of the family's 71-position model. Rfam says of the family: Transfer RNA (tRNA) molecules are approximately 80 nucleotides in length. Their secondary structure includes four short double-helical elements and three loops (D, anti-codon, and T loops). Further hydrogen bonds mediate the characteristic L-shaped molecular structure. tRNAs have two regions of fundamental functional importance: the anti-codon, which is responsible for specific mRNA codon recognition, and the 3' end, to which the tRNAs corresponding amino acid is attached (by aminoacyl-tRNA synthetases). tRNAs cope with the degeneracy of the genetic code in two manners: having more than one tRNA (with a specific anti-codon) for a particular amino acid; and 'wobble' base-pairing, i.e. permitting non-standard base-pairing at the 3rd anti-codon position. Lineage: Eukaryota; Metazoa; Chordata; Mammalia; Rodentia; Bathyergidae. The record is from Rfam by way of RNAcentral.
AUGUAGCUCAGUGGUAGAGCCCUUGCCUAGCAUGCAUGAGGCCCUAGGUUGAAUCCCUAGCAU